GAGUAGCUGGCGGCAGGCUUACACAUGCAAGUCGAGCGGUAGCACAGGGGAGCUUGCUCNCUGGGUGACGAGCGGCGGACGGGUGAGUAAUGUCUGGGAAACUGCCUGAUGGAGGGGGAUAACUACUGGAAACGGUAGCUAAUACCGCAUAACGUCGCAAGACCAAAGAGGGGGACCUUCGGGCCUCUUGCCAUCAGAUGUGCCCAGAUGGGAUUAGCUAGUAGGUGGGGUAAUGGCUCACCUAGGCGACGAUCCCUAGCUGGUCUGAGAGGAUGACCAGCCACACUGGAACUGAGACACGGUCCAGACUCCUACGGGAGGCAGCAGUGGGGAAUAUUGCACAAUGGGCGCAAGCCUGAUGCAGCCAUGCCGCGUGUGUGAAGAAGGCCUUCGGGUUGUAAAGCACUUUCAGNGAGGAGGAAGGUGGUGANCUUAAUACGNUCAUCAAUUGACGUUACUCGCAGAAGAAGCACCGGCUAACUCCGUGCCAGCAGCCGCGGUAAUACGGAGGGUGCAAGCGUUAAUCGGAAUUACUGGGCGUAAAGCGCACGCAGGCGGUUUGUUAAGUCAGAUGUGAAAUCCCCGGGCUCAACCUGGGAACUGCAUUUGAAACUGGCAAGCUAGAGUCUCGUAGAGGGGGGUAGAAUUCCAGGUGUAGCGGUGAAAUGCGUAGAGAUCUGGAGGAAUACCGGUGGCGAAGGCGGCCCCCUGGACGAAGACUGACGCUCAGGUGCGAAAGCGUGGGGAGCAAACAGGAUUAGAUACCCCUGGUAGUCCACGCUGUAAACGAUGUCAUUUGGAGGUCGUGCCCUUGAGGCGUGGCUUCCGGAGCUAACGCGGUAAAUCUCCCGCCCGGGGGAGUAC
RNAcentral lists this ribosomal RNA (864 nucleotides) under Serratia marcescens. RNAcentral's name for it is "bacterial SSU rRNA". It matches the Rfam family "Bacterial small subunit ribosomal RNA", at positions 31 to 883 of the family's 1533-position model. The record is from RNAcentral. Lineage: Bacteria; Pseudomonadati; Pseudomonadota; Gammaproteobacteria; Enterobacterales; Yersiniaceae.